This 1029-nucleotide ribosomal RNA is filed under the name uncultured fungus. RNAcentral describes it as "eukaryotic LSU rRNA". The stretch from base 348 to 1029 matches the Rfam family "Eukaryotic large subunit ribosomal RNA", at positions 1 to 664 of the family's 3401-position model. The record is from RNAcentral. Lineage: Eukaryota; Fungi.
AUCGAUGAAGAACGCAGCGAAAUGCGAUAAGUAAUGUGAAUUGCAGAAUUCAGUGAAUCAUCGAAUCUUUGAACGCACCUUGCGCCCUUUGGCUAUUCCGAAGGGCAUGCCUGUUUGAGUAUCAUGAACACCUCAACUCUCGUGGCUUGCCAUGAUGAGCUUGGACUUUGGGGGUCUUGCUGGCCUGCUGUCAGCUCCCCUCAAAUGAAUUAGCUUGCCAGUGUUUGGUGGGAUCACAGGUGUGAUAACUAUCUACGCUUGUGGUUUUCCACUAGGUAACCUUCAGCAAUGGAGGUUCGCUGGAGCUUAUAAAUGUCUCUCCUCAGCGAGGACAGAUUUUGACCGUUUGAUCUCAAAUCAGGUAGGACUACCCGCUGAACUUAAGCAUAUCAAUAAGCGGAGGAAAAGAAACUAACAAGGAUUCCCCUAGUAACUGCGAGUGAAGCGGGAAGAGCUCAAAUUUAAAAUCUGGCGUGCCUCUGGCCGUCCGAGUUGUAGUCUGGAGAAGCGUUUUCCGUGUUGGACCGUGUAUAAGUCUCUUGGAACAGGGCGUCAUAGAGGGUGAGAAUCCCGUCUUUGACACGGACUACCAAUGCUUUGUGAUGCGCUCUCAAAGAGUCGAGUUGUUUGGGAAUGCAGCUCAAAACGGGUGGUAAAUUCCAUCUAAAGCUAAAUAUAGGCGAGAGACCGAUAGCGAACAAGUACCGUGAGGGAAAGAUGAAAAGCACUUUGGAAAGAGAGUUAAACAGUACGUGAAAUUGCUGAAAGGGAAACGCUUGAAGCCAGUCGCGUCUGCCAGGACUCAGCCUUGCUCCUGCUUGGUGCACUUUCUGGUUUGAUGGGCCAACAUCAAUUUUGACCGUUGGAGAAAGGCUUUGGGAAUGUGGCACCUUCGGGUGUGUUAUAGCCCUUUGUUGUAUACAACGGUUGGGAUUGAGGACCGCAGCACGCCUUCAUGGCCGGGGUUCGCCCACGUACGUGCUUAGGAUGUUGGCAUAAUGGCUUUAAGCGACCCGUCUUGAAACACGG